Ailuropoda melanoleuca (giant panda) is the source of this 2830-nucleotide long non-coding RNA. RefSeq lists it as uncharacterized. NCBI's taxonomy places the organism in Eukaryota, Metazoa, Chordata, Mammalia, Carnivora, Ursidae. The record is from RefSeq and is a predicted model, not a curated record. The transcript has 4 exons.
UAUUUGCCCAGAAUAUGGAAACAGGCAUUUUUGAAACUCCUGUAGAAUUAUUUGUUGUGCUAGAACUUAGGAAAUUUUUGGGAUCAAAGACAAUGUAGCAAUUGUUGCAUUCAAAACACAGAGAGCAUCCGGCAUUCAGAUGAGCCCAGUCUCCUGUCCCUUUCCAGUUCUUGCAUCGAGAGGACUUUCGGCAGCCUGUUGCGGUUAGCGCCCUGUUUUCCACCCAACUUUUAUUUGGAAAAACUUCAAAUCAACAGUAAAGUUGAGCACACAUAUACUCUUCAUCAAGAUUCGCCAGUUGUUAGCAUUUUGCCAUAUUUGCUUUAUUGUUCUCUCGCUUCACACACUUAACACACGCACACACACACCACUUUCUUGUUUUGACCAAAACAUUUGAAAAUAAGUUGAUGACAUCAUACCACUUCACCUCUAAGAACUUCAGCCAACUCCGAAGAAAAUGAAUAUUAAUUCCGUAACUUCAUCUAAUAUACAAUCCAUAUUUGGAUUUCCAUAACUGUCCCCAAAGCAUCUUUUCCUGGCUCUUCUUUUUUUUGUUUCAGGAUCCAGUCUGGGUCUACAUGGCACUGGUGUCUGGUCUCUGGAGUCUCCUUCUAAUCAAGAACAGGCUUCUCACUUUCUAUUCUCUUUCACGACAUUGACUUUGGUGUAGGAUCCAGGCCAAUUGGUUUUGUACAAUGGCCCGUAUUCUGAAAUUGUCUGAUUGUUUCCUUAUGAUUACAUUUGAGUUCAACAUUUUUGCCAAGAAUGCCACACUGGUGAUACUGUAUGGUUCAUUCCACAUCGCAUCAGGAGGCCCAGAAAGAUGAUGUUCAGUUGAUUGCUUUCCUAAGGUGACAUCCGCCAGUCUAAGCACCGGUGGCACAUUCUGCAGCCAACAAAUCCAAAGAUACCAAUGAACAAGGGAAAUUAUUACCAACGCUAUCUGCCACUGUAUUGGCUGAAUUCAUGAAACUGUAAUAAGCCAAGAACAAAGGACCAACUUCAGAAGACGUUUAUAGAUUCAAGGUUUUUAGAAACCAGAAGCUCCGUUAUAAAGGAAUCUGGACGAGGCGGGGUAAAAAAACAGCGUGCCCAGGACCUUUGCUCAAACUCUGGCUUCUUUUUCUACAACCAUUGAAAAAAGUAAAGAUUGAUACCUUUCUUAUACUACACACCUUGUACUCAAAUAAAUCCUAGCCUGAUUUGAGGUUUUAAUGUAACAAAUAAAACCACACAAGAACCAAAGGAAAAUACAAAGAAUCAAUAAAGAAAAACAAGCAAAAUAAAACACAACAAAAAAUACAGUUGACUAUUUAUAGGAUCUUGAGGUGCAAAUGGCUAUUUGAAGAUUAAAACCAAGAACAAGUAUUGUAGAGGAAAUGAGAGCUAGCGUUGGCUUUAUUCAAGUCAAAAACUCCUUUAUUCAGGAUAAAACACCCUAAACAGAGGCAAACCAAAAGGAUGUGUGCAAAAUUCUCUUCAGUUUCCUUCUAGUUGUAGGUAAUCCACUCAAGCUAGCUCAUGACCAAAGAAAAGGAGCAGAAGAUGAGGAUACAGGGGUACCUCGCAGACUCCAAGGACAGGAGCAUAGCUGGACCUCAGGAAAAAUAAAAACAGGGCGCGGGAAGCCAUUGGGAAUGAAGGGAUGAAGUGGCCGUUCUCAGAGUUGUCCUGGGACCGCAGGGUCUCCUGUCACUCAUUUCUCAGUCUAUGCUGUUAUGUCCCUCCUUUCUCUCUCAGACUGUCUUUCCCACCUUCUCCGUGUACCCAACUGCUCCCAACCUCAUAAGUCUUCAGAUCUACCCACAUACACAAGCUGUGCCCUGCAGUGUUGCUCCCAAGAAAAUGGUGAUGUGGUGACCUGAGGGGGGACGAGUCCCUUCGCUGGACCACCCGUCCUUUUCUGGUGAGAAUAUGCAGGUUCCUGAUCUCAUCAUAUUUUCUGGUCUUUCUCCCAAAGAGCCCACUCCAAACCCCACUGCAGGGUCUGCAGGACUAAGGACCCCCCAUUUCCUGAAGAAGCAUGCCGUGUCAUCUCAGAGAGAACUGUGCAGGUCCGUUUGAGAAGAGCUCCACUGCCUCCGUGGGGGUUGAACAAGAAUCGAUGGCCACAUCUCCUCCUUAACCUUCCCAGACAACUGGAUCCCAAGCUCCCUGCAUGGAUCUGGGCAGUGGGGUGAGUGAGGGAAGGCUGAGUUCUCUUUACACGCUGGCUCUGGGGCCCCACUCUUUCCCCAUCCAUGUUUGAUCACUCGUUCUACAAAGUUCUUGGGUUGGCUACUGGCUGACCCCAAGUCUUAGGUCAGAGGGAUGGAUGUGGUAGGUUCUGGAAAGGGGAGAACCUUUUCAAAGUCCUGAGACCAGAAGAAGAAUCAUGGUACCCACUUACCCGGCCUUGCUCUGUCUGGUCUCUCCCUGUAUCAUCUGAAAUCAUUCCAGGUGCUUCCAGGGACACAAGGGCCCCCCAUUAAGAAUCAUGUCCCUUAGGAACUGUCAGUACUUGUCUCUUUAAGGCCUCAAUAAACUAUUUUCCCAAGUCAGACUCAGAGGAAUCUUGGACCAAAUGGCGUGAUGUUAUUUCCUCAUCUGAACAAAACUGCUUCAUUCUUACAUGAGGGCCCCGAAAUAUUUGUGCCCCAUUAGGAUUGGAGAAAGACCUCCUCCAGCCAGCCAUCCCAGGGAGCCUGGAGGAACUCUGGUGAAUGUAACUUUUGACCACAAGCCCAAGUUGGUAUAACUGGCCUCUGGAAGAACUCUUGGGAGGGAUCUCUCACGGUGGGCUAGUCCCUGCGUGGUUCCACUCAGCUUUGCUUAUGUUACAGAGCCUGCU